GACGAACGCUGGCGGCGUGCCUAAUACAUGCAAGUCGUGCGGACCUUUUAAAAGCUUGCUUUUAUAAGGUUAGCGGCGGACGGGUGAGUAACACGUGGGCAACCUGCCUGUAAGACUGGGAUAAAGCCGGGAAACCGGGGCUAAUACCGGAUCGUUUUUUCUCCGCAUGGGGGAAAAAGGAAAGGAGGGUUCUGCUGCCACUUAUAGAUGGGCCCGCGGCGCAUUACCUAGUUGGCGGGGUAACGGCCCACCAAGGCAACGAUGCGUAGCCGACCUGAGAGGGGAGUCGGCCACAAUGGGACUGGGACACCGCCCAAGCCCCUACGGGGGGCAACAGGAGGGAAUUCUUCGCAAAGGACGGAAAUCUGGCGGGACAACGCCGGGUGAGUGAAUGAGGCCUUCGGGUCGUAAAACCCUGGUUCCGGGGGAGAACAAGAUCCGUUCGAACAGGGCGGCGCCUUGACGGUACCCGGCCAGAAAGCCACGGCUAACUACGUG
This 498-nucleotide ribosomal RNA is filed under the name uncultured bacterium. RNAcentral describes it as "partial 16S ribosomal RNA". It matches the Rfam family "Bacterial small subunit ribosomal RNA", at positions 28 to 507 of the family's 1533-position model. The record is from RNAcentral.